GGCUUGGUGGUGGAAUGGUUCACAUCUGCAUUCGAUAGCCUACUCUCUUAAGCUGUUUAUACAGAAGAAGCCCGUUCGAUUCGGGCCCAAGCCA
Molecule: non-coding RNA, 94 nt
Organism: Mycena latifolia
Lineage: Eukaryota; Fungi; Basidiomycota; Agaricomycetes; Agaricales; Mycenaceae
Source: the annotation of a GenBank genome assembly